Molecule: ribosomal RNA, 2939 nt
Filed under: Serratia proteamaculans
Lineage: Bacteria; Pseudomonadati; Pseudomonadota; Gammaproteobacteria; Enterobacterales; Yersiniaceae
Description: 23S ribosomal RNA
Rfam family: Bacterial large subunit ribosomal RNA
Source: RNAcentral
GGGUUGUGAGGUUAAGUGACUAAGCGUACACGGUGGAUGCCUAGGCAGUCAGAGGCGAUGAAGGGCGUGUUAAUCUGCGAUAAGCGUCGGUAAGGUGAUAUAAACCGUUAUAACCGGCGAUACCCGAAUGGGGAAACCCAGUGCAAUUCGUUGCACUAUCAUACGAUGAAUACAUAGUCGUAUGAGGCGAACCGGGGGAACUGAAACAUCUAAGUACCCCGAGGAAAAGAAAUCAACCGAGAUUCCCCCAGUAGCGGCGAGCGAACGGGGAGGAGCCCAGAACCUGAAUCAGUUCUUGUGUUAGUGGAAGCGUCUGGAAAGUCGCACAGUAAAGGGUGAUAGUCCCGUACACUAAAAUGCAUUAACUGUGAGUUCGAUGAGUAGGGCGGGACACGUGACAUCCUGUCUGAAUAUGGGGGGACCAUCCUCCAAGGCUAAAUACUCCUGACUGACCGAUAGUGAACCAGUACCGUGAGGGAAAGGCGAAAAGAACCCCGGCGAGGGGAGUGAAAUAGAACCUGAAACCGUGUACGUACAAGCAGUGGGAGCCUACUUUGUUGGGUGACUGCGUACCUUUUGUAUAAUGGGUCAGCGACUUAUAUUUUGUAGCAAGGUUAACCGUAUAGGGGAGCCGUAGGGAAACCGAGUCUUAACUGGGCGAAUAGUUGCAAGGUAUAGACCCGAAACCCGGUGAUCUAGCCAUGGGCAGGUUGAAGGUUGGGUAACACUAACUGGAGGACCGAACCGACUAAUGUUGAAAAAUUAGCGGAUGACUUGUGGCUGGGGGUGAAAGGCCAAUCAAACCGGGAGAUAGCUGGUUCUCCCCGAAAGCUAUUUAGGUAGCGCCUCGUGAACUCAUCUUCGGGGGUAGAGCACUGUUUCGGCUAGGGGGCCAUCCCGGCUUACCAAACCGAUGCAAACUCCGAAUACCGAAGAAUGUUAUCACGGGAGACACACGGCGGGUGCUAACGUCCGUCGUGAAGAGGGAAACAACCCAGACCGCCAGCUAAGGUCCCAAAGUCAUGGUUAAGUGGGAAACGAUGUGGGAAGGCAUAGACAGCCAGGAUGUUGGCUUAGAAGCAGCCAUCAUUUAAAGAAAGCGUAAUAGCUCACUGGUCGAGUCGGCCUGCGCGGAAGAUGUAACGGGGCUAAACCAUGCACCGAAGCUGCGGCAGCGACGCUUAGGCGUUGUUGGGUAGGGGAGCGUUCUGUAAGCCGUUGAAGGUGGUCUGUGAGGAUUGCUGGAGGUAUCAGAAGUGCGAAUGCUGACAUAAGUAACGAUAAAGCGGGUGAAAAACCCGCUCGCCGGAAGACCAAGGGUUCCUGUCCAACGUUAAUCGGGGCAGGGUGAGUCGACCCCUAAGGCGAGGCCGAAAGGCGUAGUCGAUGGGAAACAGGUUAAUAUUCCUGUACUCGGUGUUACUGCGAAGGGGGGACGGAGAAGGCUAGGCUAGCCGGGCGACGGUUGUCCCGGUUUAAGCGUGUAGGGGGAGUGACCUGGUAAAUCCGGUUAUUCAUUCAACCCUGAGGCGUGAUGACGAUGCACUACGGUGCAGAAGUAGUUGAUGCCAAGCUUCCAGGAAAAGCCUCUAAGCAUCAGGUAACACAGAAUCGUACCCCAAACCGACACAGGUGGUCAGGUAGAGAAUACCAAGGCGCUUGAGAGAACUCGGGUGAAGGAACUAGGCAAAAUGGUGCCGUAACUUCGGGAGAAGGCACGCUGGCGCGUAGGUGAAGAGACUUGCUCUCGGAGCCGAAGCCAGUCGCAGAUACCAGCUGGCUGCAACUGUUUAAUAAAAACACAGCACUGUGCAAACACGAAAGUGGACGUAUACGGUGUGACGCCUGCCCGGUGCUGGAAGGUUAAUUGAUGGGGUCAGCCGCAAGGCGAAGCUCUUGAUCGAAGCCCCAGUAAACGGCGGCCGUAACUAUAACGGUCCUAAGGUAGCGAAAUUCCUUGUCGGGUAAGUUCCGACCUGCACGAAUGGCGUAAUGAUGGCCAGGCUGUCUCCACCCGAGACUCAGUGAAAUUGAACUCGCUGUGAAGAUGCAGUGUACCCGCGGCAAGACGGAAAGACCCCGUGAACCUUUACUAUAGCUUGACACUGAACAUUGAGCCUUGAUGUGUAGGAUAGGUGGGAGGCUUUGAAGCGUGGACGCAAGUACACGUGGAGCCAACCUUGAAAUACCACCCUUUAAUGUUUGAUGUUCUAACUCGGCCCCAUAAUCUGGGGUGAGGACAGUGUCUGGUGGGUAGUUUGACUGGGGCGGUCUCCUCCCAAAGAGUAACGGAGGAGCACGAAGGUUAGCUAAUCACGGUCGGACAUCGUGAGGUUAGUGCAAAGGCAUAAGCUAGCUUGACUGCGAGAGUGACGGCUCGAGCAGGUACGAAAGUAGGUCUUAGUGAUCCGGUGGUUCUGAAUGGAAGGGCCAUCGCUCAACGGAUAAAAGGUACUCCGGGGAUAACAGGCUGAUACCGCCCAAGAGUUCAUAUCGACGGCGGUGUUUGGCACCUCGAUGUCGGCUCAUCACAUCCUGGGGCUGAAGUAGGUCCCAAGGGUAUGGCUGUUCGCCAUUUAAAGUGGUACGCGAGCUGGGUUUAGAACGUCGUGAGACAGUUCGGUCCCUAUCUGCCGUGGGCGUUGGAAGAUUGAGAGGGGUUGCUCCUAGUACGAGAGGACCGGAGUGAACGCACCACUGGUGUUCGGGUUGUCAUGCCAAUGGCAUUGCCCGGUAGCUAAGUGCGGAAAAGAUAAGCGCUGAAAGCAUCUAAGCGCGAAACUUGCCUCGAGAUGAGUCUUCCCUGGGAACUUGAUUCCCCUGAAGGAACGUUUAAGACUAAGACGUUGAUAGGCUGGGUGUGUAAGUGCAGCGAUGCAUUGAGCUAACCAGUACUAAUGAUCCGUGAGACUUAACCUUACAACACCAAAAGUGUUUUG